CCUACGGGGGGCAGCAGUGGGGAAUAUUGCACAAUGGGCGAAAGCCUGAUGCAGCGACGCCGCGUGAGCGAAGAAGGAUUUCGGUAUGUAAAGCUCUAUCAGCAGGGAAGAAAAUGACGGUACCUGACUAAGAAGCCCCGGCUAACUACGUGCCAGCAGCCGCGGUAAUACGUAGGGGGCAAGCGUUAUCCGGAUUUACUGGGUGUAAAGGGAGCGUAGGCGGCAAGGCAAGUCUGAUGUGAAAACCCGGGGCUCAACCCCGGGACUGCAUUGGAAACUGCUUAGCUAGAGUGUCGGAGAGGUAAGUGGAAUUCCUAGUGUAGCGGUGAAAUGCGUAGAUAUUAGGAGGAACACCAGUGGCGAAGGCGACUUACUGGACGAUAACUGACGCUGAGGCUCGAAAGCGUGGGGAGCAAACAGGAUUAGAUACCCCAGUAGUC
This 440-nucleotide ribosomal RNA is filed under the name uncultured Lachnospiraceae bacterium. RNAcentral's name for it is "bacterial SSU rRNA". It matches the Rfam family "Bacterial small subunit ribosomal RNA", at positions 338 to 795 of the family's 1533-position model. The record is from RNAcentral. Lineage: Bacteria; Bacillati; Bacillota; Clostridia; Lachnospirales; Lachnospiraceae.